UUUUAAUGUUGCGUGUGGUUCAGUUGACCAAGGUGUAUGGUGGGAGCGCAUCUCUGGAGCGUAUGAUCUGCCAACUCAAUUAAUGAGCUCAUAUCUAACCCUCCUUAUUUUUUUGCAUUUUUUAUUUUCUGAUUUUAUUUUCUUUAAUUCCUUUUUAUUUCAAAAAUUAAUAUCUCUUUCAUUUUUAAUCCAAAAAUUAUGGGACCAAUUGCAUUAGUCUCC
RNAcentral lists this long non-coding RNA (222 nucleotides) under Lathyrus oleraceus (garden pea). RNAcentral's name for it is "Pisum sativum (pea) long non-coding RNA (PSAT_LNC015554)". The record is from RNAcentral. Lineage: Eukaryota; Viridiplantae; Streptophyta; Magnoliopsida; Fabales; Fabaceae.